GAUGGGAAUCCAAUUUUGCCCAAAACCACUGCAUUGGUGAUCGAACCCUCGCGAUUCCUUUGCGUUUAGAGAUCACUGUGGAAAGUAGGGCAACGAUGGGGCCGCCGUUCACAUAACCGAAAUACAUUUUUCUCCUCCAUCCGCUCCGUCAUCUGUCUCCUUCAUCCGCUCCUUCCGCUCCUUCCGCUCUGCUCCUACCCGAAACCAUUGAGGAAGAUGAACUAGAUGUUGAAUGGGAAAUUCAGUUUUUACCAUUCAUGCGGCUAUUACAGAUCAGCUUUUUUUUCAAUGUUGCUGAAACGAUGCUGGCGUGCAGGUAUUAGAAGUGGAGGGAAUUGGAAGAGACAUGAAGCGAAAAGGAAGUGAAAUAGAGCAAAAUGCAAUUUAGUGGGUUGGGGCCUUUGCGCCAGACUUCUUGGGCGCCUUGGUGCCAGCUGCAAUCCAUGCAAUCCAAGAUGUUGGAGCCUAAGCACCACCCACUGGGUGCUAAGGCCCCAGAUGUGAAGGUCAUGGUCUUGGCGCCUGAAUUAUUGGGUGCCUAGGUGCCAGAACCGAAUCUGAUGCAAUCACAGUAGUUCGACCUACCUGUUCGAAUCGUUGUUUGGGCGGAAUGCAGGCAAUUUGAAUAGAGUAUAUUAUAGGCUAUUUAAAGAAGACUUGGAGAGUUUUACAGAGAGCUUCUGGGAAAGGAAAGAAGGGAAGUUCCUCUGCUUUUGAAAAAGAUAUCUUUAAAGUAGAAGGCUUGCUCUAGGCUAGAGAUAACUAGUAUAGAGUAGAGAAUUGGUGAGGAUCUGAGUGUUAAAGUAAGGAGAGUAGGAAAGCAACAAGAGCAUUUGUGGAGCAUUCUCAAUGCGUUUUUGAG
Phalaenopsis equestris is the source of this 862-nucleotide long non-coding RNA. RefSeq lists it as uncharacterized. The record is from RefSeq and is a predicted model, not a curated record. The transcript is spliced from 3 exons. NCBI's taxonomy places the organism in Eukaryota, Viridiplantae, Streptophyta, Magnoliopsida, Asparagales, Orchidaceae.